This 484-nucleotide ribosomal RNA is filed under the name uncultured bacterium. Its description in RNAcentral is "partial 16S ribosomal RNA". It matches the Rfam family "Bacterial small subunit ribosomal RNA", at positions 30 to 507 of the family's 1533-position model. The record is from RNAcentral.
AUUGAACGCUGGCGGCAGGCCUAACACAUGCAAGUCGAGCGGAUGAAGGGAGCUUGCUCCUGGAUUCAGCGGCGGACGGGUGAGUAAUGCCUAGGAAUCUGCCUGGUAGUGGGGGAUAACGUCCGGAAACGGGCGCUAAUACCGCAUACGUCCUGAGGGAGAAAGAGGGGGAUCUUCGGACCUCACGCUAUCAGAUGAGCCUAGGUCGGAUUAGCUAGUUGGUGGGGUAAAGGCCUACCAAGGCGACGAUCCGUAACUGGUCUGAGAGGAUGAUCAGUCACACUGGAACUGAGCCACGGUCCAGACUCCUACGGGAGGCAGCAGUGGGGAAUAUUGGACAUAGGGCGAAAGCCUGAUCCAGCCAUGCCGCGUGUUUGAAGAAGGUCUUCGGAUUGUAAAGCACUUUAAGUUGGGAGGAAGGGCAGUAAGUUAAUACCUUGCUGUUUUGACGUUACCAACAGAAUAAGCACCGGCUAACUUCGUG